UCUUCAUUUGAGUAAAACUUUUAUUGUUAUAUUCGCUCAUUUAAGGAGCUGUUAUUGUAUUAAUCUGUGCUCUAAAUUUUUUAACUCUUUGUGAGUUUUUGUUCUUGUUUUUGGAGGAUUUCCAAAACAAGGAAAGGUUGAUCCGAACCUGAAAUCAGAGUGUUUUGGGUUUACUUGUACCCGAGAAACAAGUGAUCUAGCUUGGGAUAGCUAGUGUCGGAGUUUCCGACAUUUUGUAUUCAGGUUGAAUACAAAGGAUAGUGGAUUGAAAUUCCCAAGUAGGAUCUUGGGGAGUGGAUGUAGGUGCAAGGUUAGCACCGAACCACUAUAAAUCUUUGUGUUUGUGGUGUGCUUUAUCUCUUCACUUUAUUUCUUUAUUAUAUUCUUGCAUUCCUGCUUUAGGUAAUUAAUAUUGAAUUAAAGUCUUUGUUUUGAUCUUCAUAAGUAAUCUGUUGGGCUUAAAAUUUUUAGAAACCCAAUUCACCCCCCCUCUUGGGUUGCAUAGCUGGGCAACAAGUGGUAUCAGAGCCGGUGCUCUAGCCCUUCUUUGAUCUAAUAAUCAAAGAGCCAAUGAUCUAUGGCAACCCAUGUUGGAACUUCUCUAGCCGAGGANNN
Molecule: long non-coding RNA, 615 nt
Filed under: Elaeis guineensis (African oil palm)
Lineage: Eukaryota; Viridiplantae; Streptophyta; Magnoliopsida; Arecales; Arecaceae
Description: long non-coding RNA (EGUI_LNC053438)
Source: RNAcentral